UACGUAGGGGGCAAGCGUUGUCCGGAAUCAUUGGGCGUAAAGCGCGUGUAGGCGGUUCAGUAAGUCUGCUGUGAAAGUCCAGGGCUCAACCCUGGGAUGCCGGUGGAUACUGCCGGGCUAGAGUACGGAAGAGGCGAGUGGAAUUCCCGGUGUAGCGGUGAAAUGCGCAGAUAUCGGGAGGAACACCAAUUGCGAAGGCAGCUCGCUGGGACGGUACUGACGCUGAGACGCGAAAGCGUGGGGAGCGAACAGG
RNAcentral lists this ribosomal RNA (253 nucleotides) under uncultured bacterium. RNAcentral's name for it is "partial 16S ribosomal RNA". It matches the Rfam family "Bacterial small subunit ribosomal RNA", at positions 524 to 776 of the family's 1533-position model. The record is from RNAcentral.